Long non-coding RNA from Daphnia pulicaria, 536 nucleotides. RefSeq lists it as uncharacterized. The transcript has 4 exons. The record is from RefSeq and is a predicted model, not a curated record. NCBI's taxonomy places the organism in Eukaryota, Metazoa, Arthropoda, Branchiopoda, Diplostraca, Daphniidae.
CUAAUAAACUGCAACAAGCAUGGCCUGGCAACAAGUCAACAACAAUAACUGCAAUUACAAUUUGCAAGUUCUGUCUUUGUCUGUCUGAGUAAUUUCCGAUUUUUUCUGUUUUUACCAAUUUUUAGAAACUGUGUCUUUGUUUAGAAAAUAAUUUUCUUUUCUAACUACAGCUCUCAAGCACAGAGAGUUGAGUGUACUCGGACUUGCAUACUGUUGCAGUGAUUAUGAAAGGCAAAUCUUGUUAUUGGUUUAUGAGAUAAAGAUAAAGUGUGGAACCUGAGCUUGCCAGAGCUAUUGGUGAGUUUGCGAAAUACCUCACCUAUUCUAAACUUGGGCAUCGAUACAUGUUUGUCAAAUUGUCUUUGCCACUUGUGAUCCAGAGCACUUUGUUCAUCUACAUGUCCUUCUGCUGGACAGAAAUAAUCGACAAGUCACAUUUUAUUGACACAGACUAGUCUUGGUCUGUGGUUCAGGUCUGCUGGAUGAUAUUAGAAGUGUUAGCUUUUCUUUUGUUGUUUGUCAUUUUGGAAUGCAAA